Molecule: long non-coding RNA, 496 nt
Organism: Oncorhynchus keta (chum salmon)
Lineage: Eukaryota; Metazoa; Chordata; Actinopteri; Salmoniformes; Salmonidae
Exons: 3
Source: RefSeq, a predicted model, not a curated record
AGUGCACUAUAUAGGGAACAGGGCGCCAUUACUGACGCAUUGUUCUGCUACAUAUAGACUGGGCCAGACUUCGUAAAACACACCGACCAACCGACGUGGAAUUCUUGAGACGGUUCGAAUGAGCUCUAAUGAAGUGUUCUAGAGUGAUUUGAAGAUGGUUCUGAGAGUUCUAAUGAGGUGUUCUAGAGUGAUUUGAAGAUGGUUCUGAGAGUUCUAAUGAGGUGUUCUAGAGUGAUUUGAAGAUGGUUCUGAGAGCUCUAAUGAGGUGUUUCUAGAGUGAUUUGAAGAUGGUUCUGAGAGCUCUAAUGAGGUGUUCUAGAGUGAUGUGUGAUUUGAAGAUGGUUCUGAGAGCUCUAAUGAGGUGUUCUAGAGUGAUGUGUGAUUUGAAGAUGGUUCUGAGAGCUCUAAUGAGGUGUUCUAGAGUGAUGUGUGAUUUGAAGAUGGUUCUGAGAGCUCUAAUGAGGUGUUCUAGAGUGAUGUGCGAUUUGAAGAUGGU